RNAcentral lists this ribosomal RNA (390 nucleotides) under Triticum aestivum (bread wheat). RNAcentral describes it as "partial small subunit ribosomal RNA". Lineage: Eukaryota; Viridiplantae; Streptophyta; Magnoliopsida; Poales; Poaceae. The record is from RNAcentral.
AUGCCGUCAUGGGCCAUGGCCACAUCUCCAAAGGCAUUCCUCUUAUUCUAUGAAGAAUUUAGAAACUUCAACUCUGGCUACUUAAGUUUGCACUUCACAUUGAACGUAAGUGAGCUAUGGAUACCGAGGGUGGCUAUAUCUGUUUUUCUGUUGCCUGAACAUGUCUGGGCGAGGGACCACACAGAUUUGUUGUGCCGCAAGAGCGGGUAUAUGCCAUCAGGCUCAGUUAUCAUAGAAGGGAUAAUCGCCGGCCUUGGAGUCACUGGAUUUAUGCAUUGCAGAACACAAGCAAAGCUUGUCUUGAAGUUGGCUGACCUUGUGAGAAAACAUUGUUCAAGCAAGCAGUUGCAUGUGCUAUUCAUUCUGAUGCUGUUAACAGGGAUGAAAUAA